RNAcentral lists this unclassified non-coding RNA (577 nucleotides) under Hevea brasiliensis (rubber tree). The record is from RNAcentral. Lineage: Eukaryota; Viridiplantae; Streptophyta; Magnoliopsida; Malpighiales; Euphorbiaceae.
AGCUAUGAGUUGUUGUGAUAAGAACAGUAGGUGCCGGCCUGAACUUUCUUCAGAGGUGUGGAAGGUGCUUGAACCAAUGAGAGCUUCAUGUGGGGCAUCAUCUUUUAGAAUAGAUUCCGAAGAGCAUUGUGACAUCCCAUCCUAUUUUAUUUGUCCCAUAUUUCAGGAAAUCAUGCAAGAUCCUGUAGUAGCAGCAGAUGGCUUCACAUAUGAAGCAGAAGCAUUAAGAGGAUGGUUGGAUAGCGGGCAUGAGACCUCCCCCAUGACAAACCUCACGCUGUCCCAUAAGAACCUUGUUCCUAACCAUGCUCUCCGUUCUGCAAUUCAGGAGUGGCUGCAACAGAAUUGACAGAAGUUUUCGAGCUCUAUGUAAUUAUCUCAUUAUAUCCCUUCUUUUUUACCUUAGUUUUCGACAGAUGUUGAUCUCUAGUUCUAUUGUAAAUCAAUACUCCAAAAAACAUGUUUAGAUAAAAAUAGCAUAAACUGAACUGAAGUCUGAGCAUGGACAAAGUGGUUUGAUAAACAUACAAGAAAUAGAACAGGUGGAGACUUGUUUUAUGUAAAUUUGCUCUAAGGU